GCCUGGGUGGCUCAGUCGGUUAAGCGACUGACUUCAGCUCAGGUCAUGAUCUCACGGUUCGUGGGUUCGAGCCCCGCAUUAAGGCU
Molecule: non-coding RNA, 86 nt
Organism: Felis catus (domestic cat)
Lineage: Eukaryota; Metazoa; Chordata; Mammalia; Carnivora; Felidae
Source: Rfam